GACCAAGAACCCACCAAUUCCGGACCCACUGGCAUUACAGGCGUGAAUCACUGUGUCUGGCCAAAAAGGAUCUAAUCUUAUAGCAGUGGAAUGAGGGGGAAGCCCAGCAAGGCCCAUCUGUUUGGAGUCUUCCUGGACUUCUGGGGCCUGACCCUUUUGGAACGGGGGUUUUAAGAUUCAUAAUCGACAAAUGGGUUCUUGAUAUGUUGCCCAGGCUGAGAGUUUCGUUAUGGCCAGCUGUGACACAGAAAGGUUGUUCCUACUUUGGCCAUUGGAGCUCUUUCCAGUUAGCUUCUCUUCCUUGGACAGCUUCCAUACGUUUUUGAGCACUUCCUUAUUUCUGACACCAGAAGAUGACUCAGGCUUGACUUGUAUUCUCCCCGUCCAACAAUGGAAUCUGCCAUUUCUCCAAGGAGCCCUGAUUCCUUUUAUUUGAGCGUGGUACAUAGAAGCUGAGCAACUUUUUCUCUCUUUCUAAUAAAUGCUAAUUCAGGAAA
This 497-nucleotide long non-coding RNA is filed under the name Homo sapiens (human). Its description in RNAcentral is "HSALNT0323774". The record is from RNAcentral. Lineage: Eukaryota; Metazoa; Chordata; Mammalia; Primates; Hominidae.